RNAcentral lists this ribosomal RNA (767 nucleotides) under Arthrobacter sp. PAF1. Its description in RNAcentral is "bacterial SSU rRNA". It matches the Rfam family "Bacterial small subunit ribosomal RNA", at positions 63 to 841 of the family's 1533-position model. The record is from RNAcentral. Lineage: Bacteria; Bacillati; Actinomycetota; Actinomycetes; Micrococcales; Micrococcaceae.
CGAACGAUGAAGCCCAGCUUGCUGGGUGGAUUAGUGGCGAACGGGUGAGUAACACGUGAGUAACCUGCCCCUGACUCUGGGAUAAGCCCGGGAAACUGGGUCUAAUACCGGAUAUGACCUUUGACCGCAUGGUCGAGGGUGGAAAGAUUUAUCGGUUGGGGAUGGACUCGCGGCCUAUCAGCUUGUUGGUGAGGUAAUGGCUCACCAAGGCGACGACGGGUAGCCGGCCUGAGAGGGUGACCGGCCACACUGGGACUGAGACACGGCCCAGACUCCUACGGGAGGCAGCAGUGGGGAAUAUUGCACAAUGGGCGAAAGCCUGAUGCAGCGACGCCGCGUGAGGGAUGACGGCCUUCGGGUUGUAAACCUCUUUCAGUAGGGAAGAAGCGAGAGUGACGGUACCUGCAGAAGAAGCGCCGGCUAACUACGUGCCAGCAGCCGCGGUAAUACGUAGGGCGCAAGCGUUAUCCGGAUUUAUUGGGCGUAAAGAGCUCGUAGGCGGUUUGUCGCGUCUGCCGUGAAAGUCCGAGGCUCAACCUCGGAUCUGCGGUGGGUACGGGCAGACUAGAGUGAUGUAGGGGAGACUGGAAUUCCUGGUGUAGCGGUGAAAUGCGCAGAUAUCAGGAGGAACACCGAUGGCGAAGGCAGGUCUCUGGGCAUUUACUGACGCUGAGGAGCGAAAGCAUGGGGAGCGAACAGGAUUAGAUACCCUGGUAGUCCAUGCCGUAAACGUUGGGCACUAGGUGUGGGGGACAUUCCACGUUUUC